This 506-nucleotide ribosomal RNA is filed under the name uncultured bacterium. RNAcentral's name for it is "partial 16S ribosomal RNA". It matches the Rfam family "Bacterial small subunit ribosomal RNA", at positions 29 to 523 of the family's 1533-position model. The record is from RNAcentral.
AGUGAACGCUGGCGGUAGGCCUAACACAUGCAAGUCGAACGGCAGCACAGGAGAGCUUGCUCUCUGGGUGGCGAGUGGCGGACGUGUGAGGAAUACAUCGGAAUCUACUUUUUCGUGGGGGAUAACGUAGGGAAACUUACGCUAAUACCGCAUACGACCUACGGGUGAAAGCAGGGGAUCUUCGGACCUUGCGCGAUUGAAUGAGCCGAUGUCGGAUUAGCUAGUUGGCGGGGUAAAGGCCCACCAAGGCGACGAUCCGUAGCUGGUCUGAGGGGGUGAUCAGCCACACUGGAACUGAGACACGGUCCAGACUCCUACGGGAGGCAGCAGUGGGGAAUAUUGGACAAUGGGCGCAAGCCUGAUCCAGCCAUACCGCGUGGGUGAAGAAGGCCUUCGGGUUGUAAAGCCCUUUUGUUGGGAAAGAAAUCCAGCUGGUUAAUACCCGGUUGGGAUGACGGUACCCAAAGAAUAAGCACCGGCUAACUUCGUGCCAGCCGCCGCAGUAA